RNAcentral lists this unclassified non-coding RNA (283 nucleotides) under Hevea brasiliensis (rubber tree). The record is from RNAcentral. Lineage: Eukaryota; Viridiplantae; Streptophyta; Magnoliopsida; Malpighiales; Euphorbiaceae.
GAUCAUUUUGUCCCCUUUUAAGAAUUUUAUGCAGAGGAAAGAUAACCUUUUGUGAUUGCAGGUUUUGACAGGCUGUGCUGGGGUGCACUUGGUGGCGGCAAAUUGGCUAGGACUCUCUGCACCAGUUCAUUCUGGUGGAUUGGCGGUUUUUCAACAAGGCCAUGGGUUUAGCACAAACUGAAGCAGUUCUUGUAUGCUGGCAAAAUGGCUGGUUUCAUCCCUCAAAAUGACAGAUUUAUUGUGCAUUAACUUGCCCAGUAAGUGGAAAAAGUUGGUACUUGGU